GACGAACGCUGGCGGCGUGCCUAAUACAUGCAAGUCGAACGCUUCUUUCCUCCCGAGUGCUUGCACUCAAUUGGAAAGCGGAGUGGCGGACGGGUGAGUAACACGUGGGUAACCUACCCAUCAGAGGGGGAUAACACUUGGAAACAGGUGCUAAUACCGCAUAACAGUUUAUGCCGCAUGGCAUAAGAGUGAAAGGCGCUUUCGGGUGUCGCUGAUGGAUGGACCCGCGGUGCAUUAGCUAGUUGGUAAGGUAACGGCUCACCAAGGCCACGAUGCAUAGCCGACCUGAGAGGGUGAUCGGCCACACUGGGACUGAGACACGGCCCAGACUCCUACGGGAGGCAGCAGUAGGGAAUCUUCGGCAAUGGACGAGAGUCUGACCGAGCAACGCCGCGUGAGUGAAGAAGGUUUUCGGAUCGUAAAACUCUGUUGUUAGAGAAGAACAAGGACGUUAGUAACUGAACGUCCCCUGACGGUAUCUAACCAGAAAGCCACGGCUAACUACGUG
Molecule: ribosomal RNA, 508 nt
Filed under: uncultured bacterium
Lineage: Bacteria
Description: partial 16S ribosomal RNA
Rfam family: Bacterial small subunit ribosomal RNA
Source: RNAcentral